GAGCGACAUGGAGGGAGGAGGGAUAAUGGCGAGGAAGGUCGCGCCUCAAGUUUAUUGGCCGAGGUCCAGUCGCAGUGAGCGCAUCGCUAAAUGCAAUGACGAUGCAUCGGCGAACGUGAGUCGGUUUGGCAACCGCGCUCCGAUUGGUCGAAGUCGACCGGCUAGGCGACGACCGAGCGGCGGAGCGCGUUCGGGCGCAUUCGAGCGCCGACCGCCGGCCGGAGCGGACGGUCGAGUUCGAGAGCGCCGUCCGUUGUCGGAGCCAUGGUCAAGUACCCGAGAGCAGGUACAACGUUCGAGUACUCGAGCGACAAUCGCAUUUUUCAGCGUGACUCAGUUUCCGAGAGUUGAUCGAAUAUUCGAACGAUAAUCAAGAUUCCAAACCCGGUCAAGCAUAGGACCCAUCCUGACGCGGCCCUCGCAAUCUUAAGACGGAAUGUUCCGAUGCCCGGCUAUAAUGUGCACGAGCCUUAACACGUGCGGCCUCUCGGUCUCCCGCUCGAGCGGCGUCGAGACGCCGACGCGGGACCCUGGUUUCUCCGGAAUCCCGAGUCGGGUUUCGGAAAAUGGAACGGAAGCCUCGAGUCGAGGAUCGGAAAAUGAAGCGGAAGC
This is an RNA transcript of Orussus abietinus, 612 nucleotides long. RefSeq lists it as uncharacterized. The record is from RefSeq and is a predicted model, not a curated record. Lineage: Eukaryota; Metazoa; Arthropoda; Insecta; Hymenoptera; Orussidae. The transcript is spliced from 2 exons.